This is a long non-coding RNA of Dreissena polymorpha, 548 nucleotides long. RefSeq lists it as uncharacterized. Lineage: Eukaryota; Metazoa; Mollusca; Bivalvia; Myida; Dreissenidae. The transcript has 3 exons. The record is from RefSeq and is a predicted model, not a curated record.
CGCCAUUGAGAAAUUGUUCGCGAAGUUCGCGGGAAAAGACAUGUUACGAUUUAUUAAUGAAACGAGAGAGCAAUGUGUGUCCAAUGAUGGAGGUUGCAAUGCUACUGCAGUGGAUCUCUUUCACUGAUACAUGCAAACCUUGUGUAUAUAGAGGUUGCUGUCGGCGAUUGUCCAGGUGUAUGAAGGUGAAACAUUGUGAUCCCUAUCCCUAGUGACAUCUUCGAAGGACCCCAAGUGAUGCUUUUCUUGAAGUUUGAGGUAUGUGUGGCAUCCAAUUUCAGUUCUUACUUUUACUACAAAAACAAAAAGCUGACGCUUAUCACCACGCCGCAUGUUUGACCCAGGGGUGCCCCAGGGUUGGUAAUGGGGCCAUGCAAAGUUGAGAAUGACCGUAAUGUCAUAAGAGAUUUCCAGUAUAAAUUUGAAGUAAUUCGGUGUAGAAAUGAAGAAGUUAAUGUAAAAUAACCUAAAAAAUGAGUGAAAAUCUAUACCCUAAUUUCUCCUCAUCCUGCUCUCCUAACAAAUCUAAUACUGAAUCAACUUCACUG